RNAcentral lists this ribosomal RNA (498 nucleotides) under uncultured Actinomycetes bacterium. Its description in RNAcentral is "bacterial SSU rRNA". It matches the Rfam family "Bacterial small subunit ribosomal RNA", at positions 1034 to 1528 of the family's 1533-position model. Lineage: Bacteria; Bacillati; Actinomycetota; Actinomycetes. The record is from RNAcentral.
ACAGNUGCUGCAUGGCUGUCGUCAGCUCGUGUCGGNAGAUGUUGGGUUAAGUCNCGCAACGAGCGCAACCCCUCGUCCGCAUGUUGCCAGCGGGUUCGGCCGGGCACCCAUGCGAGACCGCCGGCGUUAAGCCGGAGGAAGGUGGGGACGACGUUCAAGUCAUCAUGCCCCUUAUGUCCUGGGCUGCACACGUGCUACAAUGGUCGGCACAAUGGGCUGCCAGCCCGCGAGGGCGAGCGAAUCCCUAAAGCCGGCCCCAGUUNGANANNGGAGGCUGCAACCCGCCUCCAUGAAGUCGGAGUUGCUAGUAAUCGCAGAUCAGCAUGCUGCGGUGAAUACGUUCCCGGGUCUUGUACACACCGCCCGUCACACCAUGGGAGUCAGUAACGCCCGAAAUCGGUGACCUAACCGCAAGGAAGGAGCCGCUGAAGGCGGGACGGAUAACUGGGGUGAAGUCGUAACAAGGUAGCCGUAUCGGAAGGUGCGGCUGGAUCACCU